This 710-nucleotide ribosomal RNA is filed under the name uncultured organism. RNAcentral's name for it is "bacterial SSU rRNA". It matches the Rfam family "Bacterial small subunit ribosomal RNA", at positions 94 to 808 of the family's 1533-position model. The record is from RNAcentral.
AGUGGCAGACGGCUGAGUAACGCGUAGGAAUCUUCCCGAAGCUGGGGCAUAGCCACGAGAAAUCGUGGGUAAUUCCCCAUAAUGUCGGUCUUUGAUCGAUUAAAGGGCGUAACUGCUCGGCUACGGAUGAGCCUGCGUCCUAUCAGGUAGUUGGUGGGGUAAUAGCCUACCAAGCCAAUGACGGGUAGCUGGCCUCAUGAGGGUGGUCAGCCAGAGGGGGACUGAGACACGGCCCCCACUCCUACGGGAGGCAGCAAUCAGGAAUAGUCGGCAAUGGGCGAAAGCCUGACCGCGCAAUACCGCGUGUAGGAAGACGCUCGAAAGAGUGUAAACUACUGUGGCGAGGGAAGAAGCCUGGCUUAGCCAGGUUGACGGUACCUCGCUAGAAAGGGGCCGCUAACUUCGUGCCAGAAGCGUCGGUAAUACGAGGGCCUCAAGCGUUAUCCGGUGUUAUUGGGCGUAAAGAGUCGUGUAGGCGGUUUCGUAAGUUAUCUUUUAAAGCUUCCGGCUCAACCGGAAAAAAGGAGGUAAUACUGCGAGACUAGAGUUUCCUCAAGGGAGAAUGGAACUAAAGGAGGAGUAGUGAAAUGCGUUGAUACCUUUAGGAACACCAGUGGCGAAGGCGAUUCUCUGGGAGGAGACUGACGCUGAGACACGAAAGCUAGGGGAGCGAAGCAGAUUAGAGACCUGCGUAGUCCUAGCCGUAAACG